GUAAACAAGUAGUUCUUGUCACUCCCAAGUCAAAGGGUCAAACUCGAAGCAUGAACCCACGGAGCGGAUUGGGCUCCAUUAAGACUUGCUGAGAAGCUCUCUGCAGGGCUAUGCUAUGCAAGUGUGAGUCACUAAGGGAUAAAGACCUGAUCAGCCACACUGGAAAACGGAACCACUUCCACACGCAGGUCACACACAUUUCCAUCUGUUCAAAUCCUAAGAUGCUUCAGCACACUGUCAGAGCAACAAGAUGAACAUGAUGAAUGAAAUUCUUCCUCUUUAAUUCCAACACGCGUAAGGAGAAUGCGUAUCCCUUUGGUCAGAUGGACCGUGACAAAGAGGUAAGAAGACUCCCUCUUGUGGUUCUUGAGAAAAAUAAUUCCUGCUACGAGAUCACACAGAGAAAACAGAAAUUCUGGAUUCGAAGAUAACUUCAAAUUUCAUCGAAUUGCUGAGGAAUGGAUCUUCUUUGCAAGUGUGGUAUGGGGUAGUUACAUACAUUUCCCAAUGGUAAUGCAAUAUUUUAUUUAUUC
RNAcentral lists this long non-coding RNA (533 nucleotides) under Mustela putorius furo (domestic ferret). Its description in RNAcentral is "lncRNA (ENSMPUG00000031546.1)". Lineage: Eukaryota; Metazoa; Chordata; Mammalia; Carnivora; Mustelidae. The record is from RNAcentral.